RNAcentral lists this ribosomal RNA (906 nucleotides) under uncultured bacterium. RNAcentral's name for it is "bacterial SSU rRNA". It matches the Rfam family "Bacterial small subunit ribosomal RNA", at positions 33 to 942 of the family's 1533-position model. The record is from RNAcentral.
ACGCUGGCGGCGUGCCUAAUACAUGCAAGUCGAACGCUGGAGAUCUAGCUUGCUAGAUCGAAGGAGUGGCGAACGGGUGAGUAAUACAUAAGCAACCUACCCACGAAGACUGGGAUAAUCUCUGGAAACGGGGACUAAUACCGGAUAGGUAAUCGGAAGGCAUCUUCUGAUUAUUAAAGGUUAAAAACACUGGUGGAUGGGCUUAUGGCGCAUUAGUUAGUUGGUGAGGUAACGGCCCACCAAGACGAUGAUGCGUAGCCGGCCUGAGAGGGUGAACGGCCACAUUGGGACUGAGACACGGCCCAGACUCCUACGGGAGGCAGCAGUAGGGAAUUUUCGGCAAUGGGGGAAACCCUGACCGAGCAACGCCGCGUGAGUGAUGACGGCCUUCGGGUUGUAAAGCCCUGUUGUAAGGGAAGAACGGUAGAUAGAGAAUAUCUAAGUGACGGUACCUUACCAGAAAGCCACGGCUAACUACGUGCCAGCAGCCGCGGUAAUACGUAGGAGGCGAGCGUUAUCCGGAAUUAUUGGGCGUAAAGGGUGCGUAGGCGGCCUGUUAAGUAAGUGGUUAAAUUGUUGGGCUCAACCCAAUCCAGCCACUUAAACUGGCAGGCUAGAGUAUUGGAGAGGCAAGUGGAAUUCCAUGUGUAGCGGUAAAAUGCGUAGAUAUAUGGAGGAACACCAGUGGCGAAGGCGGCUUGCUAGCCAAAGACUGACGCUCAUGCACGAAAGCGUGGGGAGCAAAUAGGAUUAGAUACCCUAGUAGUCCACGCCGUAAACGAUGAAUACUAAGUAUUGGGGAAACUCAGUGCUGCACUAACGCAAUAAGUAUUCCGCCUGUGGAGUAUGCACGCAAGUGUGAAACAUAAAGGAAUUGACGGGGGCCCGCACAAGCGGUGAGUAUGU